ACUAUCAAUGCGCCCGAUCCACUCCAGUCCUUGUCCUGGUUUCUGACGGAUCCAGUGCAACCAGGCAAGCGAGAGCCCAGACACAGUGCAGGACAGAGUGACCGACUCUCCUGGUUUCUUCACCACAGAAGCAGACGAGGCUGCUGAUAUCUAAGUAUAGCACAUUGCUGCUCGUGUCUCUGGAGAUGCUGAACCGACUUUUAAAGGAAGCUCCAUUAUUUAUGCUUCCACCACCCCAUAUGAUCCCGAUCCACUCCAUGCUUUUUCCUGGAGGUUGCCUGAUCCAGCCUGUACCAUAGUCAGUCAGGGCAUAACCAGAAAUCUGACAGGACAAUUUCACUGUUUCUCCAGGAGGUUUAACCUGAUCAGGAGACGAGGUCAGACUGAUGCAACACACAUCUGCAAAGAGGAGAGUGGAUUCAACACAGACUGAAAUAUGUAGCGUAUUAAAAGUAUUAAAAGUUGAGUACGGUGUGAGACAUGUGUUUACUCACAGGGCACAAAGGAUAUCAGAAGAAGAAAAGACCAGCUCAUGAUUCCUCUGCUGUACACAACCAAACACAGAGACUGCAGUGUCCUUGCAGUGUCUUUAUAUCUGCUUGUGAAUGGUGAAAUUUGCAUACAGUAUGGUUUAUAUAUUUUUUUCCUAUAGUUAAUAUGGCAGAAUUUCUAUAACACAUCAUUUCUUUAAAGAUUUUCCAUUAAAUUGUGAAGAAAAGAUUUAAAUAGCAAAAACAUUUUUACUAUUUUUUUUAAAUAAUGUAACUAUUUUAAUGAUCAUUUUGUCCUUGUUUUUACCUCAUUUUGCUUUCUUGUUUAUCUUCAGCCUUAAUUACCAUCCAGAGAUAAUGAAAAGAAAAGAAAAUCUGAAAAUUUAAAAGAGAAAUAUUGAGAGUUAAUGAAAUAAAAUGUGUAAUAAAUGUCA
Tachysurus fulvidraco (yellow catfish) is the source of this 925-nucleotide long non-coding RNA. RefSeq lists it as uncharacterized. Lineage: Eukaryota; Metazoa; Chordata; Actinopteri; Siluriformes; Bagridae. The record is from RefSeq and is a predicted model, not a curated record. The transcript is spliced from 2 exons.